This is a long non-coding RNA of Pangasianodon hypophthalmus (striped catfish), 1130 nucleotides long. RefSeq lists it as uncharacterized. The record is from RefSeq and is a predicted model, not a curated record. The transcript has 3 exons. NCBI's taxonomy places the organism in Eukaryota, Metazoa, Chordata, Actinopteri, Siluriformes, Pangasiidae.
AGGGGGAAGAAGGCACAAAAGAGAAUUAAUCAGUCAAUUCAAUACUCACUGUAUCUCGUAAUACACCACCACAGGAACAUCUUAUAGUGUUUAGAUAUAUGCCUAAAAAACUUGGAUCAAUAGCAUGGCAACCUCAGUUGAGAAUUUUCUGGAUUUUAUACAAAUCUCACAGAGAGGACUCACGUAAUCAUGAAGCUGAACAUUCAAAACAAAGUAUAAUAUUAUGAGUUCAUAUUAAAAUGAAAAGGUGUGAACAUUGUGUAGGCAACUCUGUAACAAGAUUACAGUCCAGACAUGUUCCACUAUAUAAAAGGCUAGGAAAAAAAUAAAAUAAAUCAGAAAGACAACCUGACAACUUGCUUCACAAGUAGACAUUACUGUUAGAUAUCAAACAUCACAACAAGAUGAUCUCAUGAUUAAGUCACUCAUCAAUAUGGUUAUGCAGAAAACAAAUCACUUGGCUGCAUUUAUCUGAUGUUUGGGUGCUAAACAUCAACUGCUUUGACAUUAUAUCAUUUUUUGCUCAGUAUGCAAGCUUGCUGCGUUCAUCUGCAGGGUCAAAUGUGCUUUAAUAGAGGACUGAGUGGGACUGACACAGCUGGGACUCAACAGCACAAGGCCACGUGGGCCACAGUGGAGACAUGAUGAGGAAGGUGCUGCAUAAUAAAUCCUCCUAGCUCUGCAAUGCAUCAUAGCAAGUGUCAAUCAGAAAAGCUCAAGUACAGAAAUGGCAUAACACCACAAAUCAUCCUGGAUCCAGUUCUGAGCACAGCGGUUUGGCUGCACAGCGUCUUUACCUCAAGGACAUCUUCAGUCUGGUCUGACGUCAAAAUGUUGACUUUGACCUUCUGGCUGUUGGAUAAGUGCACCUCCAGCUGGACCUCUUCAGUGGGGAUCUGCUGUGUCUCCUGCGGAAAAGAGAAAACAGCAGACGUGCUAACAUGCACAGGAAAACUGAUCCAAAACAACAUUUAAUGGAGCUGAGGAACCGACGAGUGACCUCAGACAUACAGAGAGGCACUAAAGUACCAGGAAAAAACAGAGGAAACAACACUGUUCAACAGAGCACUCUCAAAAUGCCUCUUAUUCACACACACAGUAUUAGAAACAUUACAGAACAAAAUGACAGU